GCGGAAGUGGCCGGGGCGACGGGCCUGAGGUUUAGGAAUGAAGAGGAUACAAUGAAGAAAGUGAAAAGCCACCCCACAGAAUGAGAGAAAAAACCUUGUCUGUAACUGACAGUCAGGAGGUACCUGCCUGGGCUUCCCUGGUGGCGUGGUGGUUAAGAAUCCGCCUGCCGAUGCAGGGGACACGGGUUCGUGCCCCGGUCCGGGAAGAUCCCACAUGCUGCGGAGCAACUAUGCCCAUGCGCCACAACUACUGAAGCCUGUGCUCCGCAACAAGAGAAGCCACUGCAAUGA
Molecule: long non-coding RNA, 291 nt
Organism: Delphinapterus leucas (beluga whale)
Lineage: Eukaryota; Metazoa; Chordata; Mammalia; Artiodactyla; Monodontidae
Source: RefSeq, a predicted model, not a curated record